RNAcentral lists this ribosomal RNA (486 nucleotides) under uncultured bacterium. Its description in RNAcentral is "partial 16S ribosomal RNA". It matches the Rfam family "Bacterial small subunit ribosomal RNA", at positions 28 to 523 of the family's 1533-position model. The record is from RNAcentral.
GACGAACGCUGGCGGCGUGCUUAACACAUGCAAGUCGAACGCUGAAGCACCAGCUUGCUGGUGUGGAUGAGUGGCGAACGGGUGAGUAAUACGUGAGUAACCUGCCCUUGACUCUGGGAUAAGCCCGGGAAACUGGGUCUAAUACUGGAUGCUACAUGUCACCGCAUGGUGGUGUGUGGAAAGGGUUUACUGGUCUUGGAUGGGCUCACGGCCUAUCAGCUUGUUGGUGAGGUAAUGGCUCACCAAGGCGACGACGGGUAGCCGGCCUGAGAGGGUGACCAGCCACACUGGGACUGAGACACGGCCCAGACCCCUACGGGAGGCAGCAGUGGGGAAUAUUGCACAAUGGGCGAAAGCCUGAUGCAGCGACGCCGCGUGGGGGAUGACGGCCUUCGGGUUGUAAACCUCUUUCAGCAGGGAAGAAGCCACAAGUGACGGUACCUGCAGAAGAAGCGCCGGCUAACUACGUGCCAGCAGCCGCCGUAA